UCAGGAUGAACGCUAGCGACAGGCCUAACACAUGCAAGUCAGGGGCAGCACAAGGAGCAAUCUGAGGUGGCGACCGGCGCACGGUGAGUAACACGUAUGCAACCUGCCUGUAAGCGGGGAAUAACCCGUUGAAAGACGGACUAAUACCGCAUAAUACUAAAUUACUGCAUGGUAAUUUAUUUAAACAUUUAUGGCUUACAGAUGGGCAUGCGCAUGAUUAGCUAGUUGGAGAGGUAACGGCUCCCCAAGGCAACGAUCAUUAGGGGUUCUGAGAGGAAGGUCCCCCACACUGGUACUGAGACACGGACCAGACUCCUACGGGAGGCAGCAGUGAGGAAUAUUGGUCAAUGGACGAGAGUCUGAACCAGCCAAGUCGCGUGCAGGAAGAAAAUGUCCUAUGGAUUGUAAACUGCUUUUGCAGGGGAAUAAAGUGCAUCACGUGUGAUGUUUUGUAUGUACUCUGCGAAUAAGGAUCGGCUAACUCCGUGCCAGCCGCCGC
Molecule: ribosomal RNA, 499 nt
Filed under: uncultured bacterium
Lineage: Bacteria
Description: bacterial SSU rRNA
Rfam family: Bacterial small subunit ribosomal RNA
Source: RNAcentral